AUUGCGCUGCCCGGUGCGUCAGGGCUAGAUUCCCCGGGGCCUUAACUUUUCAAUCGGGAGCUGCCUCUGAACUGGACCGUGGUCCUAUUUACGCGGCGCCCACCUGGUCCGUAGGGUCCAGGGCGAACAAAACGUCCAACGGCCAGGGCGGCGCAAUU
Molecule: non-coding RNA, 158 nt
Filed under: Hyphococcus sp.
Lineage: Bacteria; Pseudomonadati; Pseudomonadota; Alphaproteobacteria; Parvularculales; Parvularculaceae
Description: 6S RNA
Rfam family: 6S / SsrS RNA
About the family: E. coli 6S RNA was the first non coding RNA to be sequenced, but its function was unknown until recently. It consists of 184 nucleotides that fold into an extended hairpin structure with a large single-stranded internal bulge.
Source: RNAcentral